AUUACUGAUAGGACCCGAAAGGUGGUGAACUUUGCCUGCACAGGUUGAAGUCAGGGGAAACUCUGAUGGAGGACCGUACGGGUUAUUGAUGUGCAAAUCAUUUUUCUGAUGUAGGUAAAGGUGCGAAAGACUCAUCGAACCACCUAAUAGCUGGUUUCCUCCGAAGUUUCCCUCAGGAUAGCUGUAAUGCAUUUAGUUAAGGGGAGUAGAGAUAUGGGUAGAGGUGCAGGGAGCCUUCGGGUUCUCAACUUAUUUCCAAACUUCGAACCUCCUUGUUAGGCAUUUACCUAACUGGAAAUGCUUAAAUGAAUUAGCGUUACAAGUGGGCUCUGACCGGUAAGCGGUCAUGGCGAAAUGGGAUGAACCAUACGUCUGAAUAAGGUGCCGAAAUGUACUAUCACUGAUACCAUAAAGGGAGUCCAUGUAUUUAGACAGCAGGUCGGUGCCCCUAAAAGCAGGUAUCCGCUAAAGAGUGUGUUAAAACUCACCUGCCGAAUACUAGGGCCCCGAAAAUGAAUGGCGCAUAUAGUACUACCGAUCUCAGACAUCAGUUCUAUUGAACUGAGAGUAGGGGGAUGUGGACAUUUUUGUGAAGGUGCAAUGUGAGUUGGACUGGAAGAAUGUCUAUUACAGAUCCUAAUUGAAGUAGCGAUUAUCCAGGCUUGUAUCCUGGGGGCUGAUGAGGAGUAGGGUUUCUGGACAACUUAAACAGAUCCAGAGUUAGUCGAUCCUAAUCUCAAUAAUGGGAGAAAGGGAGUACAGUUGAUAUUCUGUAACUGACAACAGUUCGCGGCAACGCAUACUAUUUUUCUCCGCCAAUCUUAUACCGUUGGUAGGGAUCUCUUUCCUACAUGACAGUACUAAUACCCCAGGGAAACUGGUCAUCAGGCGAACUGCGGCGUUCUGCUGGCAAA
This 914-nucleotide non-coding RNA is filed under the name Trichomonas vaginalis G3. RNAcentral's name for it is "Eukaryotic large subunit ribosomal RNA". It matches the Rfam family "Eukaryotic large subunit ribosomal RNA", at positions 802 to 1762 of the family's 3401-position model. Lineage: Eukaryota; Parabasalia; Trichomonadida; Trichomonadidae. The record is from Rfam by way of RNAcentral.